Molecule: long non-coding RNA, 1999 nt
Organism: Tachysurus fulvidraco (yellow catfish)
Lineage: Eukaryota; Metazoa; Chordata; Actinopteri; Siluriformes; Bagridae
Exons: 2
Source: RefSeq, a predicted model, not a curated record
AAAACUCCAUCAUUAGAUAGCAGGGUCCAUUUGAACUACACAGCUGCCUACUUACACAUACUUCCACUAAUGUCACAUUUGUCCAAGCAGCAGAACUCUUUUGAUUAGACUGUAUGUUAAAGGCAGACCUUUAUAAAUUCCCUUCUCUGCACUGGACCAGAAUAAGCUGACUGUGACUAGAAAAGGGAAUGUAUGCAGUCAGCACACAGAUACAGAAGGGGAGGGACAACUACGCUUAGCAGUGACAAACCAUCUGCUGCCACAAUCACUAGCCAUAAGAGGUUGAAGUGUUUAUCACAACCACAGCUACAUUUUCCAUUAUCCCAAAAUAAGAUUCUUUCAGAAUUCCUUAUAUGGGCUCAAGGAGACUCCAAAUUCUCUGGUGUCUUGGAGAAUGCACAGGAAUAGCCCAGGAACUUUUUUGUUGCAUUUUUUAUUGAGUUUUGGUCAACAUAAAUACUCUGCUAUUUUUGUUAGUGGAGAUACAUUGUUUAUGUAAUCCAAUCCAGAGUAUUUACAACACUACAGAUAUUAAAAGAAGUGAUUUUAGAAUUUUAUGAUGAAUUCUUCAUUAUGCAGGUAUGACAAUUAUCUUGUUACUAUUUUCUAGCCAGUGACAUAUGCACCCAUCUUAUACCACAUACCAUAACAACAGUAAAGUCUGGUGUGUCUAUCACCGUCUCUCUUUCUCUCUCUCUCUCUCUCUCUCUCUCUCUCUCUCUCUCUCUCUCUCUCUCUCUCUCUCUCUCUCUCUCACACACACACACACACACACACACACACACACACACACACACACACACACACACACACACACACACACACACACACACACACAAACUAAUUAAACAUGCUACAAUUUACUAACUGAACUUAUAUUACUUUAGGACUAGUUUAAAAUAGCCAGAUAGUAUAAAACAGUGAUAUUAAACUACAAUUUGACUUUAAAUAUGGAUAUAAUAAGACAAAUCAAUUAAAAAUAAUUAUGUUUUUUUUUUCACAGUUGUGCUUCAUGUUACUGCUGGUUAAGGAACAAUCUUGCUCUUCUGUGGUUGUUGAGUUACCAUAAUGCAUGCCUAAUUCUGGGAAGGUGAAGACCCUGCAUAUGGUUUGUUGUGCUCUGGUACAGUGAAAUACAGCUCACAAAUUUACUUGUGCCACUGGAGAUAAAAAUAUUUUACUGUAAAUGCUGCAGUUGACAAAGUUUAGAGGCCUAGCAGAGAUUUUAAUAUCCAAAAAGUACAAAAAAGAAUCAACAACCAAUGCUCUACAAUUUGGGAAGUAGUAAGAGUAAGAACUUGAAAAGAUAUAGUAUACAUUUAGCUUGGGGUUACUGUACUCAUUCUUUUAUCACUUUCAAGGAUAAAAAUACAUUUCUCCUGCAUUGAAAAUCAGUUUGAAUGUGAACAAGUCCUCAGGCCCAAGGUGCAGUGCUGCAUCUCUGGUCAGUUGGGAGUCUGAGAUGAAGCACUGUAGCACGGGAAGAGGGACACUGCUACUGUAAGCAUUCAUCAGCAUUUGCAUUACCUUUUUAUUAGUAUUAAAAUGUAGAUUAAAUAUUUUGCGAGUAAAAAUAGCAGCACUUCCAGUUGCUAUUAUUCAGCAUUUUAGCUCAGCACAUACAGUAACUUUACUCUAUUUGGUUCAGUAAUUUGCUUGGAUAAAAUCUUUGGUUAAAUGUAUAAAUUUAAAAUGCAUUUUACUUACCUCCUUUUGUCUAAUACACAUUUUCUUCCCUUUCCCCAGGGUCCAGUUUUCCCAGGAAUCCCAUGGGAAUUUACAAAGGGGAUUCCUGGAAAUACUGUUCUUGGGGGUGGGGUUAGACAUCAUGAAUGUCAGUUAAAUAAUAUUAUAAAAUACUAUAAUUACUCAUUAAUUUUGUGGUUAACAUGAGAAAAACAAAUAAUAAACAUGCAUUUGAAACAACAUUUAUCAAGUAUCUUGCAAUUCAAACAUUAACAGAAUGUAACACUCAUAAUAAAUCUGAAUUUAAACCAAA